GAUGCCCCUAGUAACUGCGAGUGAAGAGGGAUUAGCCCAGCACCGAAGCCUGUGGUCGAUUGACUGCUAGGCAAUGUGGUGUUUAGGUUGGUUCUUGGCAUUACUGCUCUGCUCUAAGUCCAUUAAUGAGUACGGCCUAUUGAUUUGGCCCAAAGAGGGUGAAAGGCCCGUGAGAGUAGAGAUCAAGUGUGACAGUUUUGCUCUGAGCUGACCUUGGAGUCGGGUUGUUUGUGAAUGCAGCCCAAAGCAGGUGGUAAACUCCAUCUAAGGCUAAAUACUUACACGAGUCCGAUAGCAAACAAGUACCGUGAGGGAAAGUUGAAAAGUACUUUGAAGAGAGAGUAAACAGUGCGUGAAACCGUUCAGAGGUAAACGGGUGGAGUUGAACUGCGAACUCUGAGAAUUCAACUGAUAAGCGUGGUUUGCGCUCGGGCUUAUUGGCCAGCCUUCUGUGUCUGUCUAACGACAGGUGCCUGCUCCGCCGGCGGGUAUGUGGGAUGCACUUAUCACGUGCCACACGCAUUGGAGGUGAGUGGUCUGCUUGUCAGUGCACUUUCUCAGGGUGUUCACCACGACCGGCAUUGCUGUCUGUCUGCUUUGGUCGAACUGAUCAGGUCUGGUCAUUGCUAGGCUUGGUUGGGAUAGAAGGUAGCUCAUUUGUUCAUUUUAUGGACUGUGAGUGUAAUUAGCUGACCAUAGUGGAUCUGUACGGUAUGCUGGAGAUGACGGCUUUGCAUACGUGCUCUGUCCUUCGGACGGGAUUAAGUUCGGCCGGCUUGUUACCAGCCUAUGUUGGUCCGUCGGUGGCUUGAUUCUGUUCUGUUGGCGGUUGCGUGUGUGACAUGGUAUGGGCCAAUAGUCUGUGGUGUUGUGGUAGACGAUCCACCUGACCCGUCUUGAAACACGGACCAAGGAGUUUAACAUGUACGCGAGUCAUUGGGCGUUACGAAACCCAAAGGCGAAGUGAAGGUAAAGGUUCGGCCUGUCCGGACUGAGGUGAGAUCCCGUUGUUUUGCCAAGUAAAUUUUCGAGAUGCGAGCAUCGGGCGCAUCACCGGCCCGUCCCAUGACGUAGACAUGUGACUUCGUGUCGUGUGCACCGUCGGGGCGGAGCAAGAGCGUACACGUUGAGACCCGAAAGAUGGUGAACUAUGCUUGCAGAGGUUGAAGCCAGAGGAAACUCUGGUGGAGGACCGCAGCGAUUCUGACGUGCAAAUCGAUCGUCUAAUGUGAGUAUAGGGGC
Molecule: ribosomal RNA, 1242 nt
Filed under: Carettacola hawaiiensis
Lineage: Eukaryota; Metazoa; Platyhelminthes; Trematoda; Strigeidida; Spirorchiidae
Description: eukaryotic LSU rRNA
Rfam family: Eukaryotic large subunit ribosomal RNA
Source: RNAcentral